AAAUUGAAGAGUUUGAUCAUGGCUCAGAUUGAACGCUGGCGGCAGGCCUAACACAUGCAAGUCGAGCGGUAGCACAGAGAGCUUGCUCUCGGGUGACGAGCGGCGGACGGGUGAGUAAUGUCUGGGAAACUGCCUGAUGGAGGGGGAUAACUACUGGAAACGGUAGCUAAUACCGCAUAAUGUCGCAAGACCAAAGUGGGGGACCUUCGGGCCUCAUGCCAUCAGAUGUGCCCAGAUGGGAUUAGC
Molecule: non-coding RNA, 246 nt
Filed under: Klebsiella pneumoniae
Lineage: Bacteria; Pseudomonadati; Pseudomonadota; Gammaproteobacteria; Enterobacterales; Enterobacteriaceae
Description: partial 16S ribosomal RNA
Rfam family: Bacterial small subunit ribosomal RNA
Source: RNAcentral